UACGUAGGGUGCGAGCGUUAAUCGGAAUUACUGGGCGUAAAGCGUGCGCAGGCGGUUUUGUAAGCCAGAUGUGAAAGCCCCGGGCUUAACCUGGGAAUGGCAUUUGGGACUGCAAGGCUAGAGUGCGGCAGAGGAGACUGGAAUUCCUGGUGUAGCAGUGAAAUGCGUAGAUAUGCGGAGGAACACCGAUGGCGAAGGCAAUCCCCUGGGCCUGCACUGACGCUCAUGCACGAAAGCGUGGGGAGCAAACAGGAUUAGAAACCCCGGUAGU
Molecule: ribosomal RNA, 271 nt
Filed under: uncultured bacterium
Lineage: Bacteria
Description: partial 16S ribosomal RNA
Rfam family: Bacterial small subunit ribosomal RNA
Source: RNAcentral